This 268-nucleotide long non-coding RNA is filed under the name Hordeum vulgare. Its description in RNAcentral is "long non-coding RNA (HVUL_LNC019723)". The record is from RNAcentral. Lineage: Eukaryota; Viridiplantae; Streptophyta; Magnoliopsida; Poales; Poaceae.
CCCUCUGAAUGUAAGUGGAUGCCGUCCAGGUUCAAAAAGAUCAAACAGACUUAGUGACUAGUAGCUUCCUUGUGCGACCACUCGCUAUUAUGGGCUCUCGCUUAGUUGAUUAGUUAUGGAAACCUUACCCGGAUGUGCCAGCUUAUGUAGCUAUGAUAGGUGGGAUGGGCCUCCAGUGGGACUAGGUGACUGCUUCUGAAAGACUUCGUCUCAAUCUUUGGGUUGGGUCCAGUGGGUACAGCGUACUAACCUCUGCAGAGUGUAUAAA